RNAcentral lists this ribosomal RNA (878 nucleotides) under uncultured bacterium. Its description in RNAcentral is "bacterial SSU rRNA". It matches the Rfam family "Bacterial small subunit ribosomal RNA", at positions 8 to 916 of the family's 1533-position model. The record is from RNAcentral.
AGAGUUUGAUCAUGGCUCAGGAUGAACGCUGGCGGCGUGCCUAACACAUGCAAGUCGAGCGAUCUUCUUCGGAAGAGAGCGGCGGACGGGUGAGUAACGCGUGGGUAACCUGCCCUGUACACACGGAUAACAUACCGAAAGGUAUGCUAAUACGAGAUAAUAUGCUUUUAUCGCAUGGUAGAAGUAUCAAAGCUUUUGCGGUAUAGGAUGGACCCGCGUCUGAUUAGCUAGUUGGUAAGGUAACGGCUUACCAAGGCGACGAUCAGUAGCCGACCUGAGAGGGUGAUCGGCCACAUUGGAACUGAGACACGGUCCAAACUCCUACGGGAGGCAGCAGUGGGGAAUAUUGCACAAUGGGCGAAAGCCUGAUGCAGCAACGCCGCGUGAGCGAUGAAGGCCUUCGGGUCGUAAAGCUCUGUCCUCAAGGAAGAUAAUGACGGUACUUGAGGAGGAAGCCCCGGCUAACUACGUGCCAGCAGCCGCGGUAAUACGUAGGGGGCUAGCGUUAUCCGGAAUUACUGGGCGUAAAGGGUGCGUAGGUGGUUUCUUAAGUCAGAGGUGAAAGGCUACGGCUCAACCGUAGUAAGCCUUUGAAACUGGGAAACUUGAGUGCAGGAGAGGAGAGUGGAAUUCUUAGUGUAGCGGUGAAAUGCGUAGAUAUUAGGAGGAACACCAGUUGCGAAGGCGGCUCUCUGGACUGUAACUGACACUGAGGCACGAAAGCGUGGGGAGCAAACAGGAUUAGAUACCCUGGUAGUCCACGCUGUAACGAUGAGUACUAGCUGUCGGAGGUUACCCCCUUCGGUGGCGCAGCUAACGCAUUAAGUACUCCGCCUGGGAAGUACGCUCGCAAGAGUGAAACUCAAAGGAAUUGACGG